Molecule: ribosomal RNA, 433 nt
Filed under: uncultured bacterium
Lineage: Bacteria
Description: bacterial SSU rRNA
Rfam family: Bacterial small subunit ribosomal RNA
Source: RNAcentral
AACGCUGGCGGCGCGCCUAACACAUGCAAGUCGCACGAGAAAGCUGGAGCAAUCUAGUGAGUAAAGUGGCGUACGGGUGAGUAACACGUGGAUGAUCUACCUCUUAGUUCGGAAUAACCCUGGGAAACCGGAGCUAAUACCGGAUGAGCUCGAGAGAGGAAAGCAGCAAUGCGCUGAGAGAGGAGUCCGCGGCCGAUUAGCUAGUUGGCAGGGUAAAAGCCUACCAAGGCAAAGAUCGGUAGCCGGCCUGAGAGGGCACACGGCCACACUGGCACUGAAACACGGGCCAGACUCCUACGGGAGGCAGCAGUGGGGAAUCUUGCACAAUGGGGGAAACCCUGAUGCAGCGACGCCGCGUGAGCGAUGAAGCCCUUCGGGGUGUAAAGCUCUUUCGGCGGGGAAGAUAAUGACGGUACCUGCAAAAGCAGCUGCG